Non-coding RNA from Pelobates cultripes (western spadefoot toad), 990 nucleotides. Lineage: Eukaryota; Metazoa; Chordata; Amphibia; Anura; Pelobatidae. The record is from the annotation of a GenBank genome assembly.
CCUACAUGGGCGCCUAGACAAAUGUAGCCAGACUUGGGCACCAGGGCAACAUUUGAACGCAGAUGUGUAUAUGUGUAUAAGUUUGGCGUUUGAAUUCAGAGAUGGCGUUUGAAUACCUCAACAGGUAAUAGGGAAGGCUAAGCUUUUACCCCAUCCCUCCUUCUUUGCCUCCCUCCCCCCUUUUCUUAUAACAUACAUGAUCAGUCACCCCCACCAAAGAGGAUGCCCCGCACGCCAGCUUCUCAGCUCGGAGUAAUUUAUACAACAACAGGUCAUUCUGCAUGGCCUUAUACCAGUAACUCACCAUGGCCCCCAAAUACCUGGAGCACACUUAGUUUUACUGCAUACAUUUACUGCUUGCAUCUUGAAGUCUAGGUACUCUCACCAGGUCAGAGCCCUAACUCCCAGUCCACUAUAGACAUACACAGAUUUGCAUUACCGAUGUACGGUCCAUGAGAUCCUGGUAGCCAAGCACUCUUUACCCUGAAAAGACUGCUGAAGGAUAGUUAUGCUGGUUAACUCGAACUUUGCGAUUACAUUCAUGUGUGUGUCUGGUCCCUUGAUAUCAAUAUGCCGAAUACCAAUUGUUGGUCUCACAUUACUUUCACUAUAGUUUGCUAUUUGUUAACUUGUUGUAAUACCUCAAUAAAAACAGAUUGUCAAAAAAACAAAAACAAAACUAUGUACAAUUGGUCGAGUGGAAACCAUCACUUUAUACUUUUUCAUAAAAGCGUAUCAAUUAAACUGUUAAUAGCUCCCAACUGAUUCCUUUUUGCAACUGUCAUUACAUAGUUACAUAGCUGUCAGUCUAAUAAUAUCCUUACCUUUUUGUGUCACUUUACCCCACUCUCUCUAGCAUGUAAGCUGAUUGAGAAAGACCCUUAACCCCUCUGUUCAGGUGUGUCCAACUUGUUUGACUACAACUCCAUGUUUGUUCGUCCAUCCACUGUAAAGCGCUGUGCAAUUUGUUGGCGCUAUAUAAAUAAUAAC